CGCAUCUGUGCAUGCAGCAUAUCAAUAAGCGGAGGAAAAGAAACUAACAAGGAUUCCCCUAGUAACGGCGAGUGAAGCGGGAAGAGCUCAAAUUUGAAAUCUUAAAGGGUUUCCCUUUACGAAUUGUAGUUUAAAGAAGUGUUUUCUGUUGAGGUUUUGGUAAAAGUUCUUUGGAAUAGGACAUCAUAGAGGGUGAGAAUCCCGUAUUUGACCUUUACUUUCAACUUUGUGAUACACUUUCAAAGAGUCAGAUUGUUUGGGAAUGCAGUCCAAAAUGGGUGGUAAAUUUCAUCUAAAGCUAAAUAUUGGCGAGAGACCGAUAGCGAACAAGUACCGUGAGGGAAAGAUGAAAAGAACUUUGAAAAGAGAGUUAAACAGUACGUGAAAUUGUCAAAAGGGAAGCGUUUGACACCAGUGUUGUUUUUCUGAAAAUCAAUUAAAGAACUGUUUAUGCUAAGCUGUUUAGACUUUAUCAGCUAAUCUGUUUAGUUUUGAGCUUUUCUUUAAUGCACUUUUCAGUUAACAAGUCAACAUCAAUUUCUUUUGCUGUAAAAAAGCUUGAGGAAGGUGGCUUGAGAUUCGUCUUAAGUGUUUAUAGCCUCUUGCCUAUGCAGUCGGAGAGAUUGAGGUCUGCAGCGUAGAUCCUUCGGGGCUAAAUGCAUUUGUGCUAAGUUAUAGCAUUUUAUAGACAACUUGUUGACUAUGAUUUGUCUUGUAGCUUACUCGCUUAUGUUAUUUUACCUACGCUUAGGAUGUUGAACGCGCACAGAGUCUC
This 775-nucleotide ribosomal RNA is filed under the name uncultured Neocallimastigales. Its description in RNAcentral is "partial large subunit ribosomal RNA". It matches the Rfam family "Eukaryotic large subunit ribosomal RNA", at positions 26 to 635 of the family's 3401-position model. The record is from RNAcentral. Lineage: Eukaryota; Fungi; Neocallimastigomycota; Neocallimastigomycetes; Neocallimastigales.